CCUACGGGAGGCAGCAGUGAGGAAUAUUGGUCAAUGGCCGAAAGUCUGAACCAGCCAAGCCGCGUGAAGGAUGACUGCCCCAUGGGUUGUAAACUUCUUUUAUCUGGGAAUAAAAUGUUCCACGUGUGGGAUUUUGUAUGUACCAUAUGAAUAAGCAUCGGCUAACUCCGUGCCAGCAGCCGCGGUAAUACGGAGGAUCCGAGCGUUAUCCGGAUUUAUUGGGUUUAAAGGGAGCGUAGGUGGAUUGUUAAGUCAGUUGUGAAAGUUUGCGGCUCAACCGUAGAAUUGCAGUUGAAACUGGCAGUCUUGAGUACAGUAGAGGUAGGCGGAAUGCGUGGUGUAGCGGUGAAAUGCUUAGAUAUCGCGAAGAACUCCGAUUGCGAAGGCAGCUCACUGGACUGUAACUGACGCUGAGGCACGAAAGUGUGGGUAUCGAACAGGAUUAGAUACCCGUGUAGUC
This 460-nucleotide ribosomal RNA is filed under the name uncultured bacterium. RNAcentral's name for it is "partial 16S ribosomal RNA". It matches the Rfam family "Bacterial small subunit ribosomal RNA", at positions 338 to 795 of the family's 1533-position model. The record is from RNAcentral.